This 210-nucleotide ribosomal RNA is filed under the name uncultured bacterium. RNAcentral's name for it is "partial 16S ribosomal RNA". It matches the Rfam family "Bacterial small subunit ribosomal RNA", at positions 28 to 232 of the family's 1533-position model. The record is from RNAcentral.
GACGAACGCUGGCGGCGCGCUUAACACAUGCAAGUCGAGCGAGAACCUUCCUUCGGGAAGGGGAAAGCGGCGAACGGGUGAGUAACACGUGGGUAAUCAACCCUUGGUACCGGGAUAGCCCGAGGAAACUCGGAUUAAUACCGGAUGGCCCAACAGCUUUUCGGGGCGGUUGGGAAAGGUAGCUUCGGCCUCCGACCGAGGACGACGCCC